RNAcentral lists this long non-coding RNA (706 nucleotides) under Salmo salar (Atlantic salmon). RNAcentral's name for it is "lncRNA (ENSSSAG00000111270.1)". The record is from RNAcentral. Lineage: Eukaryota; Metazoa; Chordata; Actinopteri; Salmoniformes; Salmonidae.
UAGGGAUGGUAGGGAUGGUAAGAUGGUAGGGAUGGUAGGAUGGUAGGGAUGGUAGAGAUAUAUGCUGGUAGAGUUGGUAGGGCUGGUAGGGAUGUAUGCUGGUAGGGUUGAAAGGGAUGGUAGGGAUGUUUGCUGGUAGGCCUGGUAGUGCUGGUAGUGCUGGUAGGGAUGGUAGCCUGGUAGAGUUCAUGGGGAUGUAUGAUAGUAGGGUUGGUAGGGCUGGUAGGUUGUUAGAUUUCGUAGGGAUGUAUGAUGGUAGUGCUUGUAGUGCUGGUAGGGUUGUAUGCUUUUAGGGCUGGUAGGGAUGGUAGGGCUGGUAAUGUCCAUAGGGCUUGUAGGGAUGCUAAGAUUGGUAGAGAUGGUAGGGAUGUGUGCUAGUAGUGCUGGUAGGCAUGGUAGGGAUGUAUGCUGGUAGGGCUGGAAGUGCUGGUAGGGAUGGUAGGGCUGAUAGGGAUGGUAGGGAUGAUAGGGAUGUAUGCUGGUAGGGCUGGUAGGCUGAUAGGGAUGGUAGGGCUAAUAGGGAUGGUAGGGCUGAUAGGGACAGUAGUGCUGGUAGAGCUUGUAUUGUUGAUUGGGCUGUUAGGGAUGGUAGGGAUGGUAGUGAUGUAUGAUGUAGGGACGGUAGGGAUGGCAUGGACGGUAGGGAUGGUAGGGAUGGUAGGGAUAGUAGGGAUGGUAGGGAUCGUAUGGAUAGUAGUGAUGGUAG